CCUGCAAGAGUACACCUUGUGCGAUUCUCGUCUAAUCACCAAAGUUAAGCAGUUUCGGGCCCGGUCAGUACUUGGGAGGGUGACCACCUGGGAACACUGGGUGUUGUAAGCA
Molecule: non-coding RNA, 112 nt
Organism: Cordylochernes scorpioides
Lineage: Eukaryota; Metazoa; Arthropoda; Arachnida; Pseudoscorpiones; Chernetidae
Source: the annotation of a GenBank genome assembly